GUCUAUGGCCUUAUCGCCCUGAAUGAGCCCAAUCUCAUCUAAUCUUGGAAGUUAAGCAGGGUCAGCCCUGGUUAGUACCUGAAUGGGAGAAAUAAAUUCAGCCAGGCAUGCCAGCUACUCAGGAGA
RNAcentral lists this ribosomal RNA (126 nucleotides) under Castor canadensis (American beaver). The record is from RNAcentral. Lineage: Eukaryota; Metazoa; Chordata; Mammalia; Rodentia; Castoridae.